UGUCCUACGGGAGGCAGCAGUGAGGAAUAUUGGUCAAUGGACGAGAGUCUGAACCAGCCAAGUAGCGUGAAGGAUGACUGCCCUAUGGGUUGUAAACUUCUUUUAUAAAGGAAUAAAACGAGGCACGUGUGCCUUUUUGCAUGUACUUUAUGAAUAAGGAUCGGCUAACUACGUGCCAGCAGCCGCGGUCAUACGUAGGAUCCGAGCAUUAUCCGGAGUGACUGGGUGUAAAGAGUUGCGUAGGUGGCAUAGUAAGUAGCUAGUGAAAUCUGGUGGCUCAACCAUUCAGACUAUUAGCUAAACUG
This 305-nucleotide ribosomal RNA is filed under the name uncultured bacterium. RNAcentral describes it as "bacterial SSU rRNA". It matches the Rfam family "Bacterial small subunit ribosomal RNA", at positions 335 to 635 of the family's 1533-position model. The record is from RNAcentral.